UACGUAGGGGGCAAGCGUUGUCCGGAAUUACUGGGCGUAAAGGGCGCGUAGGCGGCUCGUGAAGUCAGGAGUGAAAACUCGGGGCUCAACCCCGAGAUUGCUUUUGAAACCAGCGGGCUUGAGUGCAGGAGAGGAAAGCGGAAUUCCCAGUGUAGCGGUGAAAUGCGUAGAUAUUGGGAGGAACACCAGUGGCGAAAGCGGCUUUCUGGCCUGUAACUGACGCUGAGGCGCGAAAGCGUGGGGAG
Molecule: ribosomal RNA, 245 nt
Filed under: uncultured Eubacteriales bacterium
Lineage: Bacteria; Bacillati; Bacillota; Clostridia; Eubacteriales
Description: uncultured Clostridiales bacterium partial 16S ribosomal RNA
Rfam family: Bacterial small subunit ribosomal RNA
Source: RNAcentral